This is a long non-coding RNA of Mesocricetus auratus (golden hamster), 298 nucleotides long. RefSeq lists it as uncharacterized. NCBI's taxonomy places the organism in Eukaryota, Metazoa, Chordata, Mammalia, Rodentia, Cricetidae. The transcript has 2 exons. The record is from RefSeq and is a predicted model, not a curated record.
GGGGGGGGGUAACUUUUGGAACAGAAAGCUCCACCCAUCCUGCUCCUUACUGCCUUCAACCAAACCAGCUAAAGCACCCCACCUCAGGCUGCCCGGUUCCUGUCUCUGCUCAGAGUACCCACGCAUGACAAGUCUGGGACUUGGAUGGAGGCCUGAGGGACUUGAGACUUGAGUUUACGUGGAAAUAAAUGCACUUUCGGUUCUCCCAGAUCCGUCUGUGGAAGACCCCACCCUUUCCCAAGCCCACGCGAGUGGAAUCAGGGAGGCGACCCAAUACAUUUCUAAGUAGGCUCCUGGA